CGCACCUUGCGCCCUUUGGUAUUCCGAAGGGCAUGCUUGUUUGAGUGUCAUUAUAUUCUCAAACCUUGAUAGCUUUGCGGCUACUCGAGGCUUUGGAUGUGAGGGCUUGCUGGCUUCCUUAAGUGGCGGUCUGCUCCCUUUAAAUGCAUUAGUGGGAUCCUUUGUGGAUCGGUCACUUGGUGUGAUAAUCUAUCUACGCCGCCUGGCUGAGAAGCAUAUAAUUGGGAACCUGCUCAUAACCGUCUGCUUGCAGACAACCUUCUUAAUGUUUGACCUCAAAUCAAGUAGGACUACCCGCUGAACUUAA
This 307-nucleotide unclassified non-coding RNA is filed under the name Mycena sp. RNAcentral's name for it is "partial contains 5.8S ribosomal RNA, internal transcribed spacer 2, and large subunit ribosomal RNA". Lineage: Eukaryota; Fungi; Basidiomycota; Agaricomycetes; Agaricales; Mycenaceae. The record is from RNAcentral.